RNAcentral lists this ribosomal RNA (499 nucleotides) under uncultured bacterium. RNAcentral's name for it is "partial 16S ribosomal RNA". It matches the Rfam family "Bacterial small subunit ribosomal RNA", at positions 28 to 507 of the family's 1533-position model. The record is from RNAcentral.
GACGAACGCUGGCGGCGUGCUUAACACAUGCAAGUCGAACGGGCCCGCUCUCUUUUUUGGGGGUGGGUUGAGUGGCGAACGGGGGAGUAUCACGGGAGUAACCUGCCCCCUGCUCCUGGAUAACUGCUUGAAAGGGCGGCUAAUACGGGGUGUGCCGGCUGGUCCGCAUGGGCCGGGUCGGGAUAGAUUCAUUUCCGGGUGUUUCGGGGGGGGAUGGGCUCGGGGCGUUUGAGCUGGUUGGGGGGGGGAUGGCCCACGAAGGCGGUGGUGGGUAGCCGGCGUGGGAGGGUGGGCGGCCAGACUGGGAGUGAGACACCGCACAGAUUCCUGCGGGAGGCAGCAGUGGUGGGUGUUGCACAAUGGGCGGAAGCCUGAGGCAGCGACGUCGCGUGAGGGAUGGAGGCCGUCGGGUUGGGAACCUCUUUCUCCGGUGGUGAAGGCCCUGUAAGUUGAGGCGGGGUUGACGGUAGCCGGGUAUGAAGCGCCGGCUAACUACGUG